Long non-coding RNA from Piliocolobus tephrosceles (Ugandan red Colobus), 3551 nucleotides. The record is from Ensembl. NCBI's taxonomy places the organism in Eukaryota, Metazoa, Chordata, Mammalia, Primates, Cercopithecidae.
GCGCAUAUUCAUUCUUCACACACAUACCCAUUCUUCAUUCACGUAUUUAUUCUAUUUUCCUCUCCACCCUUUUUUUGGAUGUUCUCAGGUAUACAAAGAUUAUGAUCAGCUGUUUAACCACUACAAAAAGAAACAUUAUCCUUGCUUGUAUGAAGAAUGCAUGUUUGUUGUGUUUGAUAACAAAAUAGACUUGUGUUUCCACUUGGCUGAGAAGCAUGAAGAAAAAGGUAAUAAUAAAAAGAGUAAAAUUACUUUUGCGAUAGGCGGUCCAUCGUAUAAUCAAAUUCGUAAUAAUGCGCAUAAUAAUGAAAACAAUAGUAGUAGUUAUCAUAAUACAUACGGUAUGAAUGACAGUAGCAGCAUUAAUAAUAACAAUUAUGCUAAUGAAAAUAAUAAUGAUAUAACUAAUUCAGGUGCUGGUAGUGGUGUUGGUACUGGUGGUAGUUUUACUGAAAAAAUAGACGUACGUAAUUACAAAUGUAUAUAUAAUUUUAAAAAAUUUUACGAUUGUUGGUAUUUUGAUUAUUUUGUUGAAUGCAAGUUAUUAGACUUUGUCGACUAUUUUAAAUCAAAUAAACCAUCUUUUUUCUAUCUAAUAAAAAAUGACUUGAAAUUAAUUUUAAACGUAUUUAAGCUAUUAGAUGAAAAAGAAUCUGAUUUAUUUUUCUCACAAAAUGAUAUAAUUAAGCUAACUGAAAGUGUUAUAGAAAAAGAUUUUUAUAUUAAAAAAAAAAAUAAUUUUUAUAUUUUUCAAUCAUUUUUUGAUUAUAUCAUGGAAAAAGUUGAUUUCUUAUUAUAUAACAAAGAAGAUUUGGAAAAAAAACACUUGAAUUUAUUUUUUAAUAUUAUUAUUUUUCGCUCUUUUAUUUUGUAUUACUCUUUUUGUUAUCUGUACAUAAAUGAAAAAAAAAUACACAUAGAUAAACAACUUAUUAUUUCGGAAAACAAAAUAACAAAAAAGGAUGGAAAGGAUGGAAAGGAUGGAAAGGAUGGAACGGAUGAAAAGGAUGAAAAGGAUAGACAGAAUAGAAAGGAUGGACAUAAUAGAAAGGAUGGACAGAAUAGAAAGGAUGGACAGAAUAGAAAGGAUGGACAGAAUAGAAAGGAUGGAAAGGAGAAUGUAAGGGCGAAUGAAAAUGAAAACACAAAGGUAAACACAAACAUAUAUGAAAGUAUUUUAUACAAAUAUGAAGAUGAUAUGGUAAAAAUAAGGAAAAUGGUGGAAGAAAAAACAAAUGUGAUGUUAAACCAAUUAAGCAAGUAUGGUUUUUUGUAUUUACUUUUUUUGUUCUUCAAAAUUGAAAAAUCUAGUUUCAAAAAUGUGUAUAAUAUAGUGAAAGAUGUUUAUUUGUUAUGUAAUAAUGUGUGUAAUACAAUGGACUUGAAAAAAAAAAAUCCAUUAAAUGCUGGAUCCAAGUUAUAUGAAACCGGUACCGAAGGAAGUGGUAUCAAAAACGAAAAAGAUGAUUCUUUGUUAGCUGUUAUCAACGCAUUAACCAACUUUAACGAAUUAAAAGAUGUAGAUCAUAUUAUAAAAAAUUUUUUCCAAAAGAAAAAUGCAAAUAACAAUAUAAUAAAAGACAUAUACGAUAAAGAAUUAGAUAUAUGUAAAAAAGUAAUGUUAGAUUUAUUAUAUUAUGUGGAACCUAAUUUAAAUUUAGUUUGUUUUUUUUAUUUAUUUUUAAGUAACUACUUUGCGGCACAUUUUAAAGACACAAGUAUAAAUAAGUUAAUAACAAUAUCAACUGCGCAUAAAAAAAAAAUAUUAAAUAAAAUAACUUAUGAUAUAGAUUUAGCAUCUUUAACUAGUAUAUCGAAAGAUUUGAGUAGCUUGGUAAAUGCAAAAACGCUGGAAGAAUGUCUAUCUACAGGUCCUGAGUAUUAUAGAAUAAGAAAAGACAUUGAAAAUAUAUUAAAAAGUAGUUAUAAUAGUAGUAGUAGUAGUAGUACGACUACUAACAAUAAUCACGGAAGUAAUUACACCAGUGGCUACGGAAACAAUAAUCGUGGAAGUAGUAAAAACGCUUCAGAUUAUUUGAAAAACACAGCUGACAUUAAAAGUAACACAAAUUUAUAUGACAUAACGUUAUCAUUGAGAAAUCGCUUUUUAAACAUCAUUAAACGCACUAAAAUAAACGAACUGUUUGUUAUUUAUUUUUAUGUCAGUAGUAUAAUUAUAUCAACAAAUAGUACUUGUAGCAAUAACAAUAAUAAUUUUAGUAGUAGUGUUAACAAUAAUACUACUACUACUACUACUUUUACUACUACUACUACUACUAAUAGUAAUAAUAAAAAAUAUAUUAAAGACGUUGAUUUCCCUGCGCUUCAAAAUACUAAUGAAACCAAUAACAUUGCUAACUAUAAUAAUACUUGUGUUGAUCGCUUAAAGCAUGGGAAAAUGAAUAACACUACCCACUCUAGUCUUAAUAGUAAUAAUAAAAAGAGUAAAAAAACGACUGAUGGUACAAACAAAAUGAGUCAAAUUUCAUAUAAAAAAAAAUUGGAAAAAAAUAAAAAGGCCACAGAUAAUUCAAAUAAUGCUUACAAAAAAAAAUUGGAACAGUUCCCUUUACUUCCCAAUAAGCCUGAAAAAACUGCUAAAAUUAAUUUAAUAAACGGGAAAAGCGGAGAAACUGGGAAAACUGUAAAAAUGGCCAAAAACGAGUUUUUAAAAAUAGGAAAGAACAUAAAAGAAAAUACACAAGAUGUUACUAAAACAAAUGCAAAAAACUUAGUAGACAAAAACAAAUUAAAUAAUAAAAAUAUAAAAACAGGUAGUAGUGCGAUAUAUGAUGAUUUAAAUUUUCCUUCGCUCAAUGUGAAUGCUGCCACGACUGAUGUGAGUAAACUUGGUAAAAGUAAAACUAAAGAGAAUAGCAACAGCAACAAAAAAGGUAACGAUAGUAAUAAAAAAAGUAGUAAUAGCAAUAAAACAAGUAGUAAUAACAAUAAAAAAGGUAGUAAUAAUAAUAAUUUGGUGAAAAUCUUUGAUGCAGACGAGUUUCCAUCCCUUCCGCUCCUAGAGGAAAAUAAAAAACAAACAUUGACUAACAGCAUUUUUUCAAUAACUAAAAAUAACACUACUAAUAAUGACAACAAAACAAAAGGUAAACUAAAUAAAAAUACCAAAAAUGAAGAUAAUAUAAAAAUCAGCUCAAAACCUUAUUUUAAUGCCACUGAAAGCAACAAUGUUACCUUUACAAUCAAAACAUUAAAAAAAACAAAUAAAUUAAAAAAAUGUAAUGUUUGUACAUAUGACAAUCCAUAUACAAGAAAAAUAUGUGAAUUAUGUGACAACCAUUUAUAAAACACAAGCUUCAAAAAAAAAAAAAAAAAAGGAAAGAACAAUGAAAGAAUGAGAAGUAAAUGAACUUGUAUAGGCGUGGGGGGGGUAUUUAUUUAUUUAUUUAUUUAUUUAUUAUGUUCAUGUACAUUCUUAUUUGUUGUAUAUUUGUAAACAUAGUUCUCAUAAAAAAAAAAAAAAAAUUGUUUAUGUCCAAAAUGAAAUUUAAAGCAAUGAAUAUUUUCAUUUUUAUAGUGACUAAACGAUG